Molecule: long non-coding RNA, 26353 nt
Filed under: Triticum aestivum (bread wheat)
Lineage: Eukaryota; Viridiplantae; Streptophyta; Magnoliopsida; Poales; Poaceae
Description: long non-coding RNA (TAES_LNC012897)
Source: RNAcentral
AGGAGGUAUAGGUCAGGCCUAUUGCGCUACCCCAGGUCUAUGUCCUCAUCAGGUUCCCAUCUUUAUUUUUUAUUUUUUAAACUUUAUAAAAGCACACAACAGAAAUAAAUGACUCUGUAAAACUUCCGGGUUGUCUCCGUGGCAGCGCUUUCUUUAAAGCCAUUAAGCUAGGCAUAUAGUGCUCAAGUAAUAGAUCCACCCGGAUCCCAAGGUAUAUCAAAGACAAUUUUAAUUAACAAUGAUUUGUAAUUUAGUAGUGAGCACAGAGCAACAUAUAUCAUGCAACAACGAAGUCUAACUCUCUUCCUAUGCAUCGGCAUGUCAUAAAAGAACAAUUCAUGCACGCAGAGUAAAGGCUAAUGCAUAGUAUAAGCAGUUUCUUGCAAUUCUAUCGUGUUGGAAAUAUAGAGAGGUGGAGAUAUAGUUCCUCUCUCAUAGUAACUGCAAGUAGGAGCAGCAAGCACAUGCAUAUUAUAUCUAUCAAAAUCAUCAUGUGCAACGGUAAAAGGCAACCCAUCAAUAUAAUCGUUAAUAAGUGCAAACUUCUCCGAUAUAGUGUAGUUGGGAGAAUUCAAAAAGAUAAUAGGACUAUCAUGCGUGGGUGCAAUAGCAACAAUUUCAUGUCUAACAUAAGGAACUAUAGCAAGUUCAUCUCCAUAAGCAUAAUUCAUAUUGGCAUCUUGGCCACAAGCAUAGCAAGCAUCAUCAAAAAGCGGUAUUUCAAGAGAAUCAACGGGAUCAUAACAAUCAUCAUAGCAAUCAUCCUUCGGUAAGCACGAAGGGAAAUUAAACAAUGUAUGAGUUGAAGAGUUACUCUCAUUAGAAGGUGGGCACGGGUAGCUGAUCCACUCUUCCUCCUUUUGUUCUUCGCUCUCCUCAUCAUCUUUUUCAUCCAAUGAGCUCACAGUUUCAUCCAUUUCUUCUUCCAUAGACUCCUGCAAAAUAUUAAUCUCUUCUUGGACAGCGGAGGAGUCCUCAGUAUAUGGUUUAACAUAGGCAUUAGAAGCAUAAUUAUCAUAACAAUAUUUAAGUAUGGCAAAAUUUUCAGAUUUGUAAAGAGUAGCACCAUACUUUCCAAUCAAAGAAGCAAUUUCAUAAGCACCCUUAAAAGCAACAAAUUCUUCAAUUUGUUGAACAUCAUAGUAAUUAUAAACACCCUUAGCAUAUGAAGAUACGAUUCCAUUAUCACUAAACAAACAUUGGUAGGGAAGGUGUUUCUUAGGGUCUUCAGAACAACAAGUAAUAUCAUAUAUCUCACAUAAAUUCCAGGCAUAGCAUUGCAAACGAUGAAUUUGAUCCAGUAAAAGUUUCCCUUUUUUAGAUAUGCGGUGUAGCACAUAACAAGCAUGCUCAUCUAAAGAUUUGCCCUCAACUAAGCUAGUUGGGGUUUCAGCACGAGCACAUAGGGAUCGAAGAUGAUCCAAGUAAAAAAGCUUCAGGAGUGUGAUAGAUUUGAGUGGUUCUUCAACCAUUGGUUCAGUAGGUACAACUAUUUUUUUUGGUAUUUUGCGUUUCCUACCCAUAACUAAAGAUAGAAAACAACUAAGAACAGCAAAUAAAAAUUACUUAGUGAUAAAGCAAACAAGCACACACGAGAAUAUUCACCCCACGCUAUGACUCCCCGGCAACGGCACCAGAAAAAGGUCUUGAUAACCCACAAGUAUAGGGGGUCAAUUGUAGCCUCUUUCGAUAAGUAAGAGUGUUGAACCCAACGAGGAGCUAAAGGUAGAACAAAUAUUCCCUCAAGUUCUAUCGACCACCGAUACAACUCUACGCACGCUUAACGUUCGCUUUACCUAGAACAAGUAUGAAACUAGAAGUACUUUGUGGGUGUUUUUGGAUAGGUUUGCAAGAAUACAAAGAGCACGUAAAUAAAAAGUUGGGGCUGUUUAGAUAAAGACACAAUAAAGUAAAUAUAGCGAGUGUGGAAAAGUGGUGGUAGGAGUUGCGAAAUUGUCCCUUAAGCAAUUGACUACUUUACUAGACCGAUAGCAAGUUUUAUGUGGGAGAGGCCACUGCUAGCAUGUCAUCCCUGACUUGGAAUUCUAUGCACUUAUGAUUGGAACUAUUAGCAAGCGUCCGCAACCACUAACAUUCAUUAAGGUAAAACCCAACCAUAGCAUUAAGAUAUAUUGGUCCCCCUUCAAUCCCGUAUGCAUCAAUUUCUAUGCUAGGUUGAAGCUUCUGUCACUCUUGCCCUCCAAUACAUAGUCCUAUCAACAUACAACUAACCCUAUGGUGUGAUCCACGCGUGCGCUCAUAUGAUGGGCACCAAAGGACAGCAACAUAACCACAAGCAAAUUAAAUCAAUCAUAGCAAUUCAUCAACCACCGAUAGGACAACGAAAAUCUACUCAGACAUCAUAGGAUGGCAACACAUCAUUGGAUAAUAAUAUGAAGCAUAAAGCACCAUGUUCAAGUAGAGGGUACAGCGGGUUGCGGGAGAGUGGACCGCUGUAGAUAGAGGGGAGAAGGUGAUGGAGAUGUUGGCGAAGAUGGCGGAGGUGUUGGUGAAGAUCGCGGUGAUGAUGAUGGUGGCCACGACAGCGUUCCGGCACCACCGGAAGAGAGGGGGAGAGGGGCCCCCUUCUUCUUCUUCUUCUUCCUUGACCUCCUCCCUAGAUGGGAGAAGGGUUUCCCCUCUAGUCCUUGGCCGCCAUGGCAUGGGAGGGGCGAGAGCCCCUCCGAGAUUGGAUUUGUCUCUCUGUCUCUCUCUGUUUCUGCGCUCCUCUCUUCUGCCCUUUCACCGUUUCGUAUAUAUAUGGAGAUCCGUAACUCCGAUUGGAUUGAAACCUUCGCCCAGAUUUUUCUCCUAAAAUUAGCUUCCUUGUGGCCAAAGGAGAGCAGCAACCGCCUUACAGGUGGCCCACGAGGGGGGCAGGCGCGCCCCCUGCCUCGUGGCCACCUCGGGCACCGUCUCGCGUUGAUUCUUCUUCCCAUAUUCUCCAAAUAUUCCAAAAAUAUUCUCCGUCCGUUUUUAUCCUGUUUGGAUUUCGUUUGAUAUAGGGUUUCUGCAAAAUAUAAAACAUGCAACAAACAGGAACUGGCACUAGGCACUGGAUCAAUAUGUUAGUCCCAAAAAUAGUAUAAAAAGUUGCCAAAAAGUAUAUGAAAGUUGUAUAGUAUUGGCAUGGAACAAACAAAAAUUAUAGAUACGACGGAGAUGUGUCAAUGUGCAAUGAUCUAGCGUAACAUGUAUGAAAAAUGAUGCACGGUGGCUGAGCCACAACUACUAUGUCAGCUACAUGAUCAUGCAAAGCUAUAUGACAAUGAAUGCUCAAGUCAUCAAACGGAAGCGGUGGAAGUUGCAUGGCAAUAUAUCUCGGAAUGGCCAUGGAAAAGCCAUAAUAGGUAGGUAUGGUGGCAGUUUUGAGGAAGAUAUAAUAAGGCUUAUGUGUGAUAGAGCGUAUCAUAUCACGGGGUUUGGAUGCACCUGCGAAGUUUGCACCACGUCUCGAUGUGUGAAAGGGAAAUGCACGGUACCGUAGAGGCUAGCAAAUUGCGAAAAGGUAAGAGUGCGUAUAAUCCAUGGACUCACAUUAGUCAUAAAGAACUCAUAUACUUAUUGCAAAAGUUUAUUAGCCCUUGAGGCAAAGUACUACUACGCAUGCCCCUAGGGGGAUAGAUUGGUAGGAAAAGACCAUCGCUCGUCCCCGACCGCCACUCAUAAGGAAGACAAUCAAUAAUAAAUCAUGCUCCAACAUCAUAGCAUAACGAGAGACUAUAUGUGCAUGCUUCGGGAAUCACAAACCUUAACACCAUUAUUCUUACUAACCACAACCGUUUACUAGUACCUCCCACAUAUUAUCAUCUCUAUAUCGCAAAACUAUUGCAAGGAAUCAAACAUAUCAUAUUCAGUGAUCCAUAAGUUUUAUGUAGGAUUCAUAACUAACCAUGCAAUUGACCAAUUCCUGUUGACUCUCUAAAUAGAUCUAAGUGAAGCAUGAGAGUUUAAUUCUUUCUACAAAAGAUCAUGCUCUAAUAAAUAUAAGUGAAGCAAAAGAGCAUUCUUCAAACAACGGUUUUCUAUGUGAAGAGAAACAGGCAAUCCAAACUUCAAAUGAUAUAAGUGAAGCACAUGAAGCAUUCUACAAGGCCAUACUCAAAAGAUAUAAGUGAAGUGCAAUGAGCCUUCUAUAAAUCAACCAUGGACUAUCUCAUACCAGCAUGGUGCAUAAAAGAAAAAUGAAAACUAAAAGCAAAAGACGCUCCAAGAUUUGCACAUAUCGCAUGAACGAAACGAAUCCGAAAACAUACCGAUACUUGUUGAAGAAAGAUGGGAUGCCUUCCGGGGCAUCCCCGAGCUUAGACGCUUGAGUCUCCUUGAAUAUUUACUUGGGUUGCCUUGGGCAUCCCCAAGCUUGAGCUCUUGCCUCUCCUCCUUCUCCUCACAUCGAGACCUCCUCGAUCUUCGAACACUUCAUCCACACAAAAUUCAACAGAAAGUUCGGUAAGAUCCGUUAGUAUAAUAAAGCAAAUCACUACUCUAAGUACUGUUGCAAACCAAUUCAUAUUUUUUUUGCAUUGUAGCUACUGUAAUAUAACUUUUCCAUGGCUUAAUCCACUAAUAGAAUCGAUAGUUUCAUCAAAACAAGCAAAACAAUGCAUCAAAAACAGAAUCUGUCUUAAACAGGACAGUCUGUAGUAAUCUGAACAUUCACCAUACCUCUGGUACUCCAAAAAUUCUGAAAAAGAUAGGGAAAAUAAACAAUUUGUAUAGAAAGACAGUGCAAAAUGCUUCAGAACUGUUUCACGUUCCAGUAAAAAAAUGUAAAAUCGCGCACUACAGCCAAAGUUUAUGUUUUGCACCGCACAAACCAACAAGCAAUCUAAACAUCCUAAAGGAAAACCUUGGCACAUUAUUUUUAUAAUACAAUGGAAUUGUACAAGGGGAUAAUUAUUUUUGUGAGAAUUUUCAUGAAAAAUUCUACUUUGUUUCCAUGAGCAUGAACACAAGUGUUCAAGGUCGACCCUCACUUCUCCAAUGCAUAACUUCCAAUCGCUUCUCUUUUGUGAAAAAGUUUUAAGUUCCCCUCUAUAUUUUUUUGUUUUUAAACUUUAUAAAAGCACUCAACAGAAAUAAAUGACUCCCUAAAACUUCCGGUUGUCUCCCUGGCAGCGCUUUCUUUAAAGCCAUUAAGCUAGGCAUAAAGUGCUCAAGUAAUGGAUCCACCCGGAUCCCAAGGUAUAUCAAAGCCAAUUUUAAUUAACAAUGAUUUGGCAUUUAGUAGUGAGCACAAAGCAACAUAUAUCAAGUAAUAACGAAGUCUAACUCUCUUCCUAUGCAUCGGCAUGUCAUACAAGAACAAUUCAUGCACAUCAAGUAAAGGCCAAUGCAUAGUAUAAGCAACUUCUUGCAAUUCUAUCGUGUUGGAAGCAUAAAGAGGCGGAGAUGUAGUUCCUCUCUCUCAUAAUAAUUGCAAGUAGAAGUAGCGAGCACAUGCAUAUUAUAUUCAUCAAAAUUAUCAUGUGAAACGGUAAAAGGCAACCCAUCCAUGUAGUCCUUAAUAAGUGCAAACUUCUCCGAUAUAGUGUAGUUUGGAGAAUUCAAAAGGAUAAUAGGACUAUCAUGUGUGGGUGCAAUAUCAACAAUUUUAUUCUUAACAUAAGGAACUAUGGCAAGUUCAUCUCCAUAAGCAUAAUUCAUAUUGGCAUCAUGGCCUGAUACGUCUCCAACGUAUCUAUAAUUUUUUAUUGUUCCAUGCUAUUAUAUUAUCUGUUUUGGAUGUUUAAUGGACUUUAAUAUGCUCUUUUAUAUUAUUUUUGGGACUAACCUAUUAACCGGAGGCCCAGUGCCAGUUUCUGUUUUUUUGCCUAUUUUAGAGUUUCGCAAAAAAGGAAUACCAAACGGAAUGAAACCUUCGCGAGGAUCUUUCUUGGACCGAAAGCAAACUAGAAGACUUGGAGAUGAAGUCGGAGACACAACGAGGCGGCCAUGAGGCAGGAGGGUGCGCCCAGGGGGUAGGCGUGCCCCCACCCUCAUGGGCCCCUCGUAGCUCCACCGACGUACUUCUUUCGCCUAUAUAUACUCUUAUACCCUAGAUCGAUCAGAGAGAGCCACGAAACCACUUUUCCACCGCCGCAAGCUUCUGUACCCGUGAGAUACCAUCUUGGGGCCUUUUCCGGCGAUCUGCCGGAGGGGGAAUCGAUCACAGAGGGCUUCUACAUCAGCACCAUAGCCUCUCCGAUGAAGCGUGAGUAGUUUACCACAGACCUUCGGGUCCAUAGUUAUUAGCUAGAUGGCUUCUUCUCUCUCUUUGAUUCUCAAUACAAAGUUCUCCUUGAUGUUCUUGGAGAUCUAUUCGAUGUAAUACUCUUUUGCGGUGUGUUUGCCGACAUCCGAUGAAUUGUGUAUUUAUGAACUUGAUUAUCUAUGAAUAUUAUUUGGUUCUUCUCUGAAUUCUUAUAUGCAUGAUUUGAUAUCUUUGCAAGUCUCUUCGAAUUAUCGGUUUAGUUUGGCCUACUAUAUUGAUCUUUCUUGCAAUGGGAGAAGUGCUUAGCUUUGGGUUCAAUCUUGCGGUGUCCUUUCCCAGUGACAGUAGGGGCAGCAAGGCACGUAUUGUAUCAUUGCCAUCGAGGAUAGGAAGAUGGGGUUUAUAUCAUAUUACUUGAGUUUAUCCCUCUACAUCAUGUCAUCUUGCUUAAAGCGUUACUCUGUUCUUAUGAACUUAAUAUUCUAGAUGCAUGCUGGAUAGCGGUCGAUGUGUGGAGUAAUAGUAUUAGAUGCAGAAUCGUUUCGAUCUACUUGACACGGACGUGAUGCCUAUAUUCAUGAUCAUUGUCUUAGAUAUCUUCAUAACUAUGCGUUUUUCUAUCAAUUGCUCGGCAGUAAUUUGUUCACCCACCGUAAUACAUGCUAUCUUGAGAGAAGCCAGUAGUGAAACCUAUGGCCCCCGGGUCUCUUUCUUAUUAUAUUGCAUCUCUUUUAUUUACAUCGCAUCUCAUUUACUAUUUUGCAAUCUUUACUUUACAAUCUAUACAACAAAAAUACAAAAAAUAUUUACUUUACUAUCUUUAUUAGAUCUCACUUUUGCGAGUGACCGUGAAGGAAUUGACAACCCCUUUAUCGCGUUGGUUGCAAGGUUCUUGAUUGUUUGUGCAGGUACUAGGUGACUUAUGCGUUGUCUCCUACUGGAUUGAUACCUUGGUUCUCAAAAACUGAGGGAAAUACUUACGCUACUUUGCUGCAUCACCCUUUCCUCUUCAAGGGAAAACCAACGCAUGCUCAAGAGGUACCAAGAAGGAUUUCUGGCGCCGUUGCGGGGAGAUCUACGCCAAGUCAAGACAUACCAAGUACCCAUCAUAAACUCUUCUCCCUCGCAUUACAUUAUUUUCCAUUCGCCUCUCGUUUUCCUCUCCCCCACUUCUAAACCGAUUUUCAAAAACCUUUGCCUUCUCUUCGUCCCUUUUCCGUUCGUCUCUUUUUGCUUGCUUCUUGUGUGCUUGUGUGUUGGAUUGAUCGUUUGUCACGAUGGAUCAAGAUAAUACUAAAUUGUGUGACUUUUCGAAUACCAACAACAAUGAUUUUAUUAGCACUCCGAUUCCUCCUACUACCGAUGCUGAAUCUUGUGAAAUUAAUACCGCUUUGUUGAAUCUUGUUAUGAAAGAUCAAUUUUUUGGCCUUCCCAGUGAAGAUGCCGCUACCCAUCUAAACAACUUUGUUGAUUUGUGUGAUAUACAAAAGAAGAAACAUGUGGAUAAUUAUAUUGUUAAAUUGAAGCUAUUUCCGUUUUUGCUUAGAGAUCGUGCUAAAAUUGGUUCUCUUCUUUGCCUAAAAAUAGUAUUGAUUCAUGGAAUAAGUGCAAAGAUGCUUUUAUCUCGUAAGUAUUUUCCUCCCGCUAAGGUCAUCUCUCUUAGGAACGAUAUUAUGAAUUUUAAGCAACUUGAUCAUGAGCAUGUUGCACAAGCUUGGGGGAGGAUGAAAUUAAUGAUACGUAAUUGCCCUACACAUGGUUUGAAUUUGUGGAUGAUUAUACAAAAAAAAUUAUGCCGGAUUGAAUUUUGCUUCUAGAAAUCUUUUAGAUUCGGCCGCGGGAGGCAUUUUUAUGGAAAUCACUUUAGGAGAAGCUACUAAACUCCUAGAAAAAAUUAUGGUUAAUUAUUCUCAAUGGCACGCCGAUAGAUCCACGAGUAAAAAGGUUCAUGCGAUGGAAGAGAUUAAUGUUUUGAGUGGAAAGAUGGAUGAAUUUUUGAAAUUGCUUGCUAAUAAAAGUGUUUCUUCUGAUCCUAAUGAUAUGCCUUUGUCCACUUUGAUUGAGAAUAAUAGUGAAUCUAUGGAUGUGAAUUUUGUUGGUAGGAACAAUUUUGGUAACAACGCGUAUAGAGGAAACUUUAAUUCUAGGCCGUUUCCUAGUAAUUCCUCUAAUAAUUAUGGUAAUUCCUACAACAACUCUUAUGGAAAUUUUAAUAAGAUGCCCUCUGAUUUUGAGACUAGUGUUAAAGAAUUUAUAAGUUCGCCAAAGAAUUUCAAUGCUUUGGUUGAAGAAAAUUUGCUUAAGAUUGAUGAGUUGGCUAGGAACGUGGAUAGAACUUCUAUUGAUGUUGAUUCUUUGAAACUUAGAUCUAUUCCACCUAGGCAUGACAUCAAUGAGUCUCUCGAAGCCAUGCGAAUUUCCAUUGAUGAGUGCAAAGAAAGAACCGCUAGGAUGCGUGCUAAAAAAGAUUGCUUUGUGAAAGUGUGUUCUUCUAGUUUUCAUGAUAAUAAUGAUGAAGAUCUAAAAGUGAUUGAUGUGACUCCUAUUAAAUAUUUGUUUUCCAAGAUGAAUCUUGAUAAAUAUGGGACUGGAGAUGAGUCAACUUUAGUUAAAAGGCGUCCCAAUGAUUCGGAGUUUUUAGAUCUUGAUGCAAAAAUUGAUAAAAGUGGGAUUGAAGAGGUCAAAACUUUACAUAGCAAUGAACCCACUAUUUUGGAUUUCAAGGAAUUUAAUUAUGAUAAUUGCUCUUUGAUAGAUUGUAUUUCCUUGUUGCAAUCCGUGUUAAAUUCUCCUCAUGCUUAUAAUCAAAAUAAAGCUUUUACUAAACAUAUCGUUGAUGCUUUAAUGCAAUCCUAUGAAGAAAAGCUUGAACUAGAAGUUUCUAUCCCUAGAAAACUUUAUGAUGAGUGGGAACCUACUAUUAAAAUUAAGAUUAAAUAUUAUGAAUGCUAUGUUUUGUGUGAUUUGGGUGCUAGUGUUUCCACGAUUCCAAAAACUUUGUGUGAUGUGCUAGGUUUCUGUGAAUUUGAUGAUUGUUCUUUAAAUUUGCAUCUUGCGGAUUCCACCAUUAAGAAACCUAUAGGAAGGAUCAAUGAUGUUCUUAUUGUUGCAAAUAGGAAUUAUGUGCCCGUAGAUUUCAUUGUUCUUGAUAUAGAUUGCAAUCCGACAUGUCCUAUUAUUCUUGGUAGACCUUUCCUUAGAAUGAUUCGUGCAAUUAUUGACAUGAAAGAAGGAAAUAUUAGAUUCCAAUUUCCGUUAAGGAAAGGCAUGGAACACUUUCCUAGGAAGAAAAUUAAAUUACCUUAUGAAUCUAUUAUGAGAGCCACUUAUGGAUUGCAUACCAAAGAUGACAAUACCUAGAUCUAUUCUUGCUUUUAUGCCUAGUUAGGGGCGUUAAACGAUAGCGCUUGUUGGGAGGCAACCCAAUUUUAUUUUUGUUCUUUACUUUUUGUUCCUGUUUAGUAAUAAAUAAUUCAUCUAGCCUCUGUUCUGAUUGUGUUUUUUAUGUUUUAGUUAGUGUUUGUGCCAAGUAAAGCCUUUAGGAUCUUCUUGGGUGAUUGUUGUUUGAUCUUGCUGAUAAAAACAGAAAGUAUGCGCUCACGAAAAUAAUUAAAAUUUUAUAACAGAGAGCGCUAAAAUACCAAUUCCAACUGCAGUAGAUCAAUAUACUUUUUAUCCUGGUCGUCCUAAUUUUUCAGAAUUUUUGGAGUUACCGAAGUAUUCGAAACAUCCAGAUUGCUACAGACUGUUCUGUUUUUGACAGAUUCUGUUUUUCGUGUGUUGUUUGCUUAUUUUGAUGAAUAUAUGGCUAGUAUCGGGGGGUAUGAACCAUAGAGAAGUUGGAAUAUAGUAAGUUUAACACCAAUAUAAAUAAAUAAUGAGUUCAUUACAGUACCUUAAAGUGCUGGUUUAUUUUCUUAUACUAACGGAGCUCAUGAGAUUUUUUGUUGAAGUUUUGUGUUGUGAAGUUUUCAAGUUUUUGGGUAAAGAUUUGAUUAAUUUUGGAAUAAGGAUGGCAAGAGCCUAAGCUUGGGGAUGCCCGAGGCACCCCAAGGUAAAAUUCAAGGACAACCAAAAGCCUAAGCUUGGGGAUGCCCCGGAAGGCAUCCCCUCUUUCGUCUUCGUCUAUCGGUAACUUUACUUGAGGCUAUAUUUUUAUUCACCACAUGAUAUGUGUUUUGCUUGGAGCAUCCUAUAUGAUUUGAGUCUUUGAUUUUUAGUUUACCACAAUCAUCCUUGCUGUACACACCUUUUGGGAGAGACACCAAUUAAUCGGAAUUUAUUAGAAUACUCUAUGUGCUUCACUUAUAUCUUUUGAGCUAGAUAAUUUUGCUCUAGUGCUUCACUUAUAUAUUUUUAGAGCAUGGUGGUGGUUUUAUUUUAUAGAAAUUAUUGAUCUAUCAUGCUUCACUUAUAUUAUUUUGAGAGUCUCUUAGAACAGCAUGGUAAUUUUCUUUGGCUAUAAAAUUAGUCCUAAUAUGAUGGGCAUCCAAGAUAGGUAUAAUAAAAACUUUCAUAUAAAGCGCAUUGAAUACUAUGAGAAGUUUGAUUCUUUAUGAUUGUUUUGAGAUAUGAAGAUGGUGAUAUUAGAGUCAUGCUAGUUGAUUAGUUGUGGAUUUGAGAGAUACUUGUGUUAAAGUUUGUGAUUCCCGUAGCAUGCACGUAUGGUGAGCCGUUAUGUGAUGAAGUCGGAGCAUGAUUUAUUUUUUGAUUGUCUUCCUUAUGAGUGGCGGUCGGGGACGAGCGAUGGUCUUUUCCUACCAAUCUAUCCCCCUAGGUGCAUGCGUGUAGUACUUUGUUUCAAUAACUAAUAGACUUUUACAAUAAGUAUGUGAGUUCUUUAUGACUAAUGUUGAGUCCAUGGAUUAUACGCACUCUCACCCUUCCACCAUUGCUAGCCUCUCUAGUACCACGCAACUUUCGCCGGUACCAUAAACCCACCAUUACCUUCCUCAAAACAGCCACCAUACAACCUAUUAUGGCAUUUCCAUAGCCAUUCCGAGAUAUAUUGCCAUGCAACUUUCCACCGUUCCGUUUAUUAUGACACGACUCAUCAUUGUGAUAUUGCUUUGCAUGAUCAUGUAGUUGACAUCGUAUUUGUGGCAAAGCCACCUACAUAAUUCUUUCAUACAUGUCACUCUUGAUUCAUUGCACAUCCCGGUACACCGCCGGAGGCAUUCACAUAGAGUCAUAUUUUGUUCUAAGUAUCGAGUUGUAAAUUCUUGAGUUGUAAGUAAAUAAAGUGUGAUGAUCUUCAUUAUUAGGCAUUGUCCCAGUGAGGAAAGGAUGAAGGAGACCAUGAUUCCCCCACAAGUCGGGAUGAGACUCCAGACGAAAAAUAAAAAAAGAAAAGAAAAAAAGAGGCCAUAAAAAAAGGCCCAAAUAAAAAAAGAGAAAAAGAGAGAAGGGGCAAUGCUACUAUCCUUUUACCACACUUGUGCUUCAAAGUAGCACCAUGAUCUUCAUGGUAAAGAGCCUCCUAUGUUGUCACUUUCAUAUACUAGUGGGAAUUUUUCAUUAUAAAACUUGGCUUGUAUAUUCCAAUGAUGGGCUUCCUCAAAUUGCCCUAGGUCUUCGUGAGCAAGCGAGUUGGAUGCACACCCACUUAGUUUCUUGUUGAGCUUUCAUACACUUAUAGCUCUAGUGCAUCCGUUGCAUGGCAAUCCCUACUCACUCACAUUGAUAUCUAUUGAUGGGCAUCUCCAUAGACCGUUGAUACGCCUAGUUGAUGUGAGACUAUCUUCUCCUUUUUGUCUUCUCCACAACCACCAUUCUAUUCCACCUAUAGUGCUAUGUCCAUGGCUCACGCUCAUAUAUUGCGUGAAGAUUGAAAAAGUUUGAGAACAUCAAAAGUAUGAAACAAUUGCUUGGCUUGUCAUCGGGGUUGUGCAUGAUUUAAAUAUUUUGUCUGAUGAAGAUGGAGCAUAGCCAGACUAUAUGAUUUUGUACGGAUAGCUUUCUUUGGCCAUGCUAUUUUGAGAAGACAUGAUUGCUUUAUUAGUAUACUUGAAGUAUUAUUGUUUUUAUGUCAAUAUUAAACCUUUGUUUUGAAUCAUUCGGAUCUGAACAUUCAUGCCACAAUAAAGAAAAUUGCAUUGAUAAAUAUGUUAGGUAGCAUUCCACAUCCAAAAUUCUGUUUUUAUCAUUUACCUACUCGAGGACGAGCAUGAAUUAAGCUUGGGGAUGCUUGAUACGUCUCCAACGUAUCUAUAAUUUUUGAUUGUUCCAUGCUAUUAUAUUAUCUGUUUUGGAUGUUUAAUGGACUUUAAUACGCUCUUCUAUAUUAUUUUUGGGACUAACCUAUUAACUGGAGGCCUAGUGCCAGUUUCUGUUUUUUGCCUAUUUUAGAGUUUCGCAGAAAAGGAAUACCAAACGGAGUCCAAACGGAAUGAAACCUUCGGGAGGAUCUUUCUUGGACCGAAAGCAAACUAGAAGACUUGAAGAUGAAGUCGGAGACGCAAAGAGGCGGCCACGAGGCAGGAGGGCGCGCCCCCCACCCUCGUGGGCUCCUCGUAGCUCCACCGACGUACUUCUUUCGCCUAUAUAUACUCUUAUACCCUAGAUCGAUCAAAGAGAGCCACGAAACCACUUUUCCACCGCCACAACCUUCUGUACCCGUGAGAUCCCAUCUUGGGGCCUUUUCCGACGAUCUGCCGGAGGGGGAAUCGAUCACGGAGGGCUUCUACAUCAACACCGUAGCCUCUGUGAUGAAGCGUGAGUAGUUUACCACACACCUUUGGGUCCAUAGUUAUUAGCUAGAUGGCUUCUUCUCUCUCUUUGAUUCUCAAUACAAAGUUCUCCUCGAUGUUCUUGGAGAUCUAUUCGAUGUAAUACUCCUUUGCGGUGUGUUUGCCGAGAUUCGAUAAAUUGUGGAUUUAUGAACUUGAUUAUCUAUGAAUAUUAUUUGGUUCUUCUCUGAAUUCUUAUAUACAUGAUUUGAUAUCUUUGCAAGUCUCUUCGAAUUAUCGGUUUAGUUUCGCCUACUAGGUUGAUCUUUCUUACAAUGGGAGAAGUGCUUAGCUUUGGGUUCAAUCUUGUGGUGUCCUUUCCCAGUGACAGUAGGGGCAGCAAGGCAUGUAUUGUAUUGUUGCCAUCGAGGAUAAAAAAUGGGGUUUAUAUCAUAUUGCUUGAGUUUAUCCCUCUACAUCAUGUCAUCUUGCUUAAAGCGUUACUCUGUUCUUAUGAACUUAAUACUCUAGAUGCAUGCUGGAUAGCGGUCGAUGUGUGGAGUAAUAGUAGUAGAUGCAGAAUCGUUUCGAUCUACUUGACACGAACGUGAUGCCUAUAUUCAUGAUCAUUGCCUUAGAUAUCUUCAUAACUAUGCGCUUUUCUAUCAAUUGCUCGGGAGUAAUUUAUUCACCCACCGUAAUACAUGCUAUCUUGAGAGAAGCCACUAGUGAAACCUAUGGCCCCCGGGUCUCUUUCUUAUUAGGGUUUUUUACAUCUGUGCCCCUGGUUCCUUAGCUCUACUCAUUCAUCCCCGCGCUCUUAACUUUUGCUCAAUUUUCCCCACUCCCUUGCCAGAAACCCUCAUAACUAGGCACAACGGACGUUGCCGUCGGGUCAAAGGCUUGACCGUUAACUCUGACUAGUGGGGCCAUGCUGGACUGUGUCGUCUGUUCGAGCUGACAAGUGGGGCCGCGUUGGGUGGUUUCGCUGUUGGACCGUUGGGCCAUGGUUUCAUUGGGUCGUCCCUUGCAUUAAACGUCUGCGCGCGCCGCCAGGACAGAAGCCUGCUAUGCAUGCACCCAGCAAAUCCUGCCUGCAUGCGUCGAUCGAGCCUGCAUGCGCCGAUGCCACGAUCCCACGAUGCGCCGACCGAGCCUGCAUGCGCCGAUGCGUCCGCCACGAUGCACUGACCGAGCAGCUUUCUUGGACGCCAGCCGCCACGGAUGCAGCAACGGUCACUGCUGCUGGUUCCUCUCUUCUAGCUAGGUGGCUACAUAUUUGUGGCUUGUGUAAAAAAAGAGCCACUCCCUUGCUUAGUUGUACUCAUUCAUCCCUACUAACAAAGCUUGCUUGCAUGCACUAGGUGGUUACUAACAAGCCGAGCUCUUUAAGAAAAUAAUCAACAAAUAUGUAGUCCCAAUAUGUAGAUAGGGCCAACAAUCCCAUAGCACGAUCACAUAGCUCAAACUAGGAAGAGCUUAAUAAUAGAAUAGAUAGAAAACUUAAUAAUAGAAUUUAAGAAAAGGGCCAACAAGCCCAAAAUAACUCCAACAUAGUUCAAUUACAACUUAACAUAAAAUACACUAAAAAAAGAUAGAGGGUUUAGAACCCUAGCCGCCGCCUUCUCCACCUUGCUCCUCCUCCGGGCACCCUUUUCACUGCUCCUCCGGGGCGUUGUCGAUGGGGUACGAAAGAGUGUGCAUGUGCGUCGCGGUGGGGAAGAUGUUGUUGUACUCCGUGUGGUUGGUGAAAGCGAUGAACUCGGAGCCACACCAAAACACCCGGCCGAGGAGGUAGAAGGCGUCGAAUGUGUUGGUGAAGUGGGCAAGGAGAGCAACCACCACCCGGUUUUGGAUGACCUCCUCGACGCGGAACAUCGUUGGAGAUCCCCUCGGGAGGUGGUGGUAGCCGGACGCGAGGAAGAACUCGGUGAAGUUCCUUGCGGUCCGCAGCCUUGAUAUCGCCCACAAACGUAGUGAACGUACACGCCGGUAGGGUAGAGCCUCUCCGGCACAGUGGGUGGGAAGCGGUAGGUUGGUCCAGUGUACUGCAUGGCUGAGGGAUGUGCAGAAGACGGAGAAGGGGUCGAAGAGCAAGAAGGGCAGAUGGAUGAGGGAUGGCAGAGGUACAGGGUGGCUUAAAUAGCCGUACUGCUACGUGUUAUUUGGCUGUGGCAAUAACGGGGUCAAAUGUGAAGUAACCCGUCUUCAAACCCACCGCAACAUCGGGAGUGUACACGCGUGGGAAACGGUGGUUUGAAAAAGAAGAAGAAGAAGAAGAAAAAGAAGCUAAUUGCACGUGUGGGAAUCCGUGGUCAUAUAUAUAUAUAUAUAUUAUAUGAACAAAAAGAGACAAUUUUUGAAUAGUUUGUGGCCAUUUUGCAUGAUAAAGAUAAAUUUGGCCCUUAAAAUUGGUCAUUUGCUACGCAAUGUCAAUUGAUUUCAAACGAUGCAAAAAUACAGAGCCAGCACGUUCACAAAAAACAGAGCAAACGAUGCAAAAAACGAUGCAAAAAUACAGAGCCAGCACGUUCACAAAAAAUAGAGCAAACGAUGCAAAAAAAACGACGCAAUUCGACGGCCCAACCAGAGUUUGGUUUCCUUUUGGGCCCAAUAACUUUUUUCACAGAGUCAGUGGUGGGCGAGCAGCCGAGCACAACGAAUAGGAUCGCCUCUCGCGGAUCGCCCCACGAUCCAACGAUGCAGAGCCGUCCUUGUGAUCCAACGACGCGGAGCCUGCACACAGCCAGCCCACCUAGUUCUUUCUAGAAGGCCAGAUCUGAGGGCUGUCGCUUGGCACGCGGACGGCUGACGUUGGGAGCUAGGGUUAGGCGAAAUCCCGCGGGGUUUAGAGGGGUUUUGAGCUGGUCCACGGGGUUUUGAAGGCUUUGACUGAGCAUAACUAAUUUAAAAAAACGAAAAAAAUAUGAAACCUUCGCCGUGCAUCGUUUUAUAAGACACACUGACGAGGAAAAAUACUAAACUUGGUCUAUGGUCAUUUUCAUGAAAAAACCGUAGUUGGCACGAUCAAGGUCAAAUGAGCACCGUUAAUUUAAAAAAAUCAAAAAAAAUAUAAAACAUGCGCACAAUGUUGCCUUAUGUGACAUGUUACCAACCAAAAAUACUAAACUUGGUCUAUGGUCAUUUUCAUGAGAAAACCUUCACAAAUAUGAGCUAUCACCUACAUGAUUUCACAGAGUUCAAGGAGAGGAGGUGGUGUUACCUUUUGUUUUUUGAAAAAUCACUAAACCUUUAUUUUAAAGUGAAUAAGAAGGAUCUGAAGUUAUUUUUCCAUUUUCAUAUUUCAAAACUUGGCCUAUAGUUUUUAUAUUAAUGUUGUCUUAUGUGACAUGUUACCGACCAAAAAUCAUAAACUUGUCCUAUGGUCAUUUUCAUGAGAAAACCUUCACACAUAUGAGCUAUCACCUACAAGAUUUCAAAAAAUAUGAAGAUUAAUUCAAUAGGUGUUAAUAAAAAACAUUUGGCUCAUUUAGAGUAGGUCCAAAAAAACUUUAUUACAAAUGGGUUGUUUACCCUAGCCUGGGAGCUUAUUUGGAGCACAUUUCUCAAAUUCAAAUUUCUUUGACCUCCUCUAAAUCACCUCAAAUUUUGCACACAUGAUCUCCUACACAAACAUAGAUAGUUGAUAAUACAUCUUCAUUAAAAUGUUGUUUUUUGCUCUGUUAUUGGAAUAUUUGAUAAAAGGGAACCCUUGAUAAAAUGAUGGACUGCAGCAUAUGUGUGAUCAUUGCAGCACCUGAACUUUCAAAACACUGAAACAAAUCAUAGCAGAUAAAUUUAAAAACACAAAAAUACCCAACAUAGAUAGCCACAUGCUUAUAAAAUUCAUCCAACCACCAAAAGGUAACCCACAUCCUCUUCACAAACAUAGUUCACCCACAUAGUUCAGCAAACAACCUAAAGUACUUAAAACACAUCAUAACAUCAGGGAAGGGGAGACAGGACUUUGGCUAGGGCAGCAUGCUGCCCCAUGAUCUUGUAGUCCUCGCCAUGGAUGGCCACAUCUUCUGCAUGAUCUAGAAGGUGAACGAAGCGGCUGGACUUUGGCUUUGGCUUGGUGGUGCAGUAGGGGCAGCACCAAGUUUUGGUCUUGCUCUUGUAGUAGUAGUCCAUGCCCUUGAUCCUGAUCUUCUCCUCUUCCUUCUCUUUGAAGGAGGCGAAGUUGCCGCGGUCCACAUCCACAUCUUCCCCAGAUACAUACUGCACACACGAAUGAAUUACAUUAGUACAUUAUAGAUUCAUGGGAAUACACCAUGUCAAACGAACUAAAUGAACAAUCUAAAUUUCAAGUAGGCUUACCUCAUACUCUUCGUCGUCACCAUACGCUGGAUCCUACGGGUCGUCGAAAUUAUAGUCUAUCUUCCUCCUCUUCCCCCUACCAUCAUCCUCCUGAAUAUACAAUUACAUCCAUCACUAGUCCUAUUUGCAUUUUCCAUUGUCAUGCACACACAUUGAACAACAGAGCUAAUAUAACUACAUAUUGUGGACAUAUUGUGAACAACAGAGCUAAUAUAACUUGAAUCAAAUAACUUGAGUAGCAUUAAAAAACCCAAUCUGUGAGCACUAAAAACAAAUCUAAUAAGCAUCAUAGCAUUAAAAACCCCAAUCUGUUCACAACAUCUAGCAUUUUCGCAACGAAUUUAUCCAAAUCUAAAAACCAAUCAUUGCAGCACCUAAAAUCAUAGUUCACAACAUCUAGCUAGCAUUUUUGCAACGAAUUUAUCCAAGAAACCCUAGUCCAAAAACCCCCACCCCCCCAACCCAUACAAAAAACCCCGGCCCAUCCGUCAAACCAACUACUCUAACCAUCUGAACUACUGUAUGAAUCACAAUCGAACUAACUCUACAAGCUAAGCAAGUGCAAAUACCUGCUCCUCCACGGCAGGCGGCGCAACGGGGGCAUCGGGAUGGACUGUGCCGCUCGACGCCAUCACCUUCUGCAGCGAUGAGGCGGAGCCCGCCACAUCCGCAGCGGUUGCGAGUUUCCCCGCACCGCCAUGGACGCCGCCGACAUCCGCGGUCACCGCGCCCUGACCCUGCAGCUCCACCACAUCUCCGGCCGCUGCGCCGGCGUCGCCACGAGCGUCGGCCAUCUGACAGAUGGAGGCGAUGAAGGUGAGGAAGAGGAUGUGGUGGGGCAGAGCAAGACAGUGUGGUGGAGGCAGUGCAGGAGAGCAAGACGACGCCGGUGGGGGAGAGGAAGAUGAUGCGGCAGCGAGGGGAUUUGGGGGAAAAUGGUAGGGGCGAUGGAGGUGGUUGCCCUCUUUACAUGAUGGGACGUUUCGGGCAUGUCCAUGGACACGUGCUACCCCACGACCACGGUCUUGCAUGCGCCCACGUAUACGCGGCCCCACUCGUCAGCUAACGGUCAAAGCAAUUGACCCGACGGCAACGUCCGUUAUAACCAGUUAUGAGGGUUUCGGGCAAGGGAGUGGGGAAAAGUGAGCAAACGUUAACAGAGUGGGGAUGAAUGAGUAGAGCUAAGGAACCAGGGGCACAGAAAUAAAAAUCCCUUCUUAUUAUAUUGCAUCUCUUUUAUUUACAUCGCAUCUCGUUUACUAUUUUGCAAUCUUUACUUUACAAUCUAUACAACAAAAAUACCAAAAAUAUUUACUUUACUAUCUUUAUUAGAUCUCACUUUUGCGAGUGACCAUGAAGGGAUUGACAACCCCUUUAUCGCGUUGGUUGCAACGUUCUUGAUUGUUUGUGCAGGUACUAGGUGACUUGUGUAUUGUCUCCUACUGGAUUGAUACCUUGGUUCUCAAAAACUGAGGAAAAUACUUACGUUACUUUGCUGCAUCACCCUUUCCUUUUCAAGGGAAAACCAACGCAUGCUCAAGAGGUAGCAUGGCCACAAGCAUAGCAAGCAUCAUCAAAAAGGGACAUUUCAAAUGAAUCAACGGGAUCAUAGCAAUUAUCAUAGCAUUCAUCCUUCGGUAAGAGCGAAGGAACAUUAAAAAAUGUAUGAGUUGGAGGGGUACUCUUAUUAGAAGGUGGGCACGGGUGAUCAAUUCGUUCUUCCUUCGCUUAUUCUUCGCUCUCCUCAUCAUCUUUUUCAUCCAAUGAGCUCACAGUUUCAUCAAUUCCUUCUUCCAUAGACUCCUGCAAAAUAUUAGUCUCUUCUUGGAUAGCGAAGACUUUCUCAAUAAACACAUCAAUAUCGUAAUUGCAUUUAUAAUUAUCAUAGCAAUAUUUAAGGAUAGCAAAAAUUUCAGGUCUAUAAACUUAAUCAUCAAAAUCUUCAAACUUUUCAAACAAAGAUUCAAUUUCAUAAGCACCCUUAAAAGCAACAACUUCUUCUAUUCGUUCCACAUCAUAAUAAUCAUAUAUACCAUUAUCAUAAGAAGCCAAGGUUUCAUUAUCAUUAAAUUCACAUGAAAAGGGAAGAUGUGGAGCAUUCAUCCUAGAGCAACAAGUAAAAUCAUAUCUCUGACAUAAAUUCCAAGCAUACCAAUGCAACGAAUAAAUUUGAUCCCAUAAAAGUUUCCCUUUUUGUGUCAACCGAUAAUCCCUAAAGUAUUCACGUUGAUCCAACAUUACUCCCAUUAUCAUGUUGAAUGGGGUUUUCUCAGGAUUAUCAAAGUAGUGCAUAAUAUCUUUUACAUAACGAGCAUCGAGGGUUUUAGGAGGUUACCCAUCUCCAUGAGUAGCAAGUACCACUAAUUUCUUUGGUGUUUCGUGUUCGAUAUCCAUAACUAAAGAUAGAGAACAACUUAGAACAAUAAAUAAAAACUACUUAGUGAUAAAGCAAACAAGCACACACGAGAAUAUUCACCCCACGCUAUUCCUCCCCGGCAACGGCGCCAGAAAAAGGUCUUGAUAACUCACAAGUAUAGGGGAUCGUUUGUAGCCUUCUUCAAUAAAUAAGAGUGUCGAGCCCAACGAGGAGCUAAAGGCAGAACAAACAUUCCCUCAAGUUCUAUCGACCACCGAUACAACUCUAUGCACACUUGACGUUUGCUUUAUCGGAGACAAGUAUGAAACUAUUUUGUAGGUGUGAUGCUAGAACUAAUUUGCAAGAAUAAAAUGAGAAGUACUUGCAAGAUAAUAAAAUUUAGGUGUAUAGUAAAAAGGUUUGUGUCAACAAGAAAGUUAUUUGUCCCUAGGCAAUCAAUAACAAGUACUGGUAAUCAUUCUUGCAACUUUAUAUGAGGGAGAGGCAUGAGCUAACAUACUUUCUCUACUUGGAUCAUAUGCACUUAUGAUUGGAACUCUAGCAAGCAUCCGCAACCACUAAAGAUCAUUAAGGUCGUGAAACCCAACCAUAGCAUUAAGUAUCAAGUCCUCUUUAUUCCCAUACGUCAUACCCCACCUACUCGGGUUUAAGUUUCUGUCACUCUCGCAACCCACCGUAAGUGAACCAUGAACAUAUUGCAACACCCUACAGCGGAGGCCCCUCACGUUUGCGUGAGAACGGAGGGCACGGUAGGACAGCACCAUAAAUAAAUUAUACAAUCAUACCAACCAAGAUCACGAUUAACCCAUAGGACAAAACGGAUCUACUCAAACAUCAUAGGAUAACCAUAGAUCAUUGGGAAAUAAUAUAUGGAGUUGAGCACCAUGUUUAAGUAGAGAUUACAGUGGGGAGAAGAGGUGUUACACCGCUGCAUAGAGGGGGAGAGAGUUGGCGUUGACGGUAGCAAGAUUGUUGAUGUAGAUCGCCGUCCCGAUCGUUGCCCCGGUGGCACUCCGGCGCCACCGGAAGCGAGGGGGAGAGAGCCCCCCUACUCCUCCUUCAUCCUUGGCCUCCCCCUAGAUGGGGAGGAGAGUUCCCCCUAUGGUCCUUGGUCUCCAUGGCCGCGGAGGGGUGGGAGCCCCUCCGAGAUUGGACCUCCCUCUCUGUUCUCUUCUGUUUCGCGUUUUUAGAUCUGGCCGAAAACCGUUUCUUACAUUCCCGGAGAUCCGUAACUCCGAUUGCGCUGAAAUUUUAACAUGAUUUUUCUCCGGAUAUAAGCUUCCUUGCGCCCGAAGUAGAGUCCAACCAACGUACAGGGUGAGCACAACGCACCACCGCACGCCUGGCUCCUCUGGCGCGUCCUGGUGGGUUGUGCCCUCCAAGGGCCUCCGUUUGCGGUGAUUCCAACUCCCAAAAAUCACAUAUAUUCCAAAAUAAUUCUCCGUGAAAUUUUAUUGCAUUUGUACUUCAUUUGAUACGGAUACUCUGCGAUACAAAAAACAUGUAGAAAACAGGAAUUGGCACUGGGCACUAGAUCAAUAGGUUAGUCCAAUAAAUCAUAUAAAAAGUUGCCAAAAUUAUGUAAAAAUUGUAUAAUAUUGGCAUGAAACAAUCAAAAAUUAUAGAUACGACGAAGACGUAUCAGACAUCUAGUGAAUUUUGCCAUGCAAAUUCACCAAAAAAAUUGCCAUGGUAAGAAAAGUUUGACAUCGUCUUGAAAGAAGGAAGUUGCCAUGGCAAGAAAAGUUUGACAUCGGCUUGGAAAAAGGAACUUGCCAUGGGCAUGUAAGUGAAUUUGCCGUGGAACAUCUACUGAUGAAGUUUGAAAUCGUCUUGAAAAAAGAAGUUGCCAUGGCAAGAAAAAGUUUGACAUCGGCUUGAAAAAAGAAACUUGCCAUGGGCAUGUAAGUGAAUUNNNNNNNNNNNNNNNNNNNNNNNNNNNNNNNNNNNNNNNNNNNNNNNNNNNNNNNNNNNNNNNNNNNNNNNNNNNNNNNNNNNNNNNNNNNNNNNNNNNNNNNNNNNNNNNNNNNNNNNNNNNNNNNNNNNNNNNNNNNNNNNNNNNNNNNNNNNNNNNNNNNNNNNNNNNNNNNNNNNNNNNNNNNNNNNNNNNNNNNNNNNNNNNNNNNNNNNNCUUGAAAAGAGAAACUUGCCAUGGCAAGAAAAGUUUGACAUCGGCUUGAAAAAAACAAACUUGCCAUGGGCAUGUUAGUGAAUUUGUCGUGAGACAUCUAGUAAAUUUUGCCAUGCAAAUUCACAAAAAAAAUUGCCAUGGGCAUGUUAGUGAAUUUGUCGUGAGACAUCUAGUAAAUUUUGCCAUGCAAAUUCACAAAAAAAAAUUGCCAUGGUAAGAAAAGUUUGACAUCGUCUUGAAACAAGAAAGUUGCCAUGGCAAGAAAAGUUUGACAUCAGCUUGAAAAAAGAAACUUGCCAUGGGGAUGUAAGUGAAUUUGCCGUGGAACAUCUAGUGAUGAAGUUUGAAAUCGUCUUGAAAAAAGAAGUUGCGAUGGCAAGAAAAAGUUUGACAUCGGCUUGAAAAGAAAAACUUGCCAUGGCAAGAAAAGUUUGGCAUCGGCUUGAAAAAACAAACUUGCCAUGGGCAUGUUUGUGAAUUUGUCGUGGGAGGUCUAGUGAAUUUGCCAUGGCGAAUUCACUGAAAAAAAAUUGCCAUGGUAAGAAAAGUUUGACAUUGUCCUGUAAAAUUGCCAUGAUGAUCUACUAAAAAUUCGCCAUUGUCUUGGAAAUUAAAGUAAAUUUGACAUGCAAAUACUCCCUCCUUCCAUCUAUAUAGGUCCAAAUGCGUUUUUCGAGGCUAACUUUGACCAAGUGUUAGAGCAAUAAUAUAUGACAUGCAAGUUACACAAAGCAUACCGUCAAAUUCGUACGUGAAAGGAGCUUCCAAUGGUAUAAUUUUCACAUUAUACAUCUCAUGUAUUAUUAAUCUUAUCAAUAGUCAAAAGCGGUCUUGAAAAACACAUUAGACCCUAUAUAGAUGGAAAGAGGGAGUACAUGAAACUAUAAUUUACCAUGGUGUAUAAACUAAAUUUGUAGUUGUCAAUUACUAAAUUUACCAUGAUCAAAAUGAAAAUAAAAUUGCCAUGCUUAAUUAACGAGAAAAUAACAUUUGCCAUGAUUUGUUAACUAAAUUUGCCUUGGUUAAAAUACUAAAAUAACCAUGAUCAAUGAAAUAAAUUUGCCAAGGUUAAUAAAAAUGAAAUUUACCAACUUUAUCAGUAGUAGCGUCGAUUUACAAAGGAACAAAGUGCGAACAAAAUUACUUAGAUGAGUUUCAGAGUCAUGCAUAGCCAUCAAUUAUACCAUGAACCCACACAAACAUUAGUUGACGAAACAUAUUGCAUCUAGAAUCCUGCGACACUAGCAAUAACAAAUGAAAAAUCUUCUGUUGGUACCUGUCGCAGUCUAUGGUGCCCUUGGCAUUGAACCUGACCCCCAGCGCAAGAUCCUGCUACCAACCAAGCCCAUCAGACCCCAGCGCAAGAUACUGCUCACCGCAUAUCAGACCCCCGCACACGAGAGCAGCAGACCAGCCGGCCGCGCACAAGCUGCUCGACGAAUUGCACCCAGGAGAGGAGGGCGGGCCUGGUAGAGGCGGGCGAAGAUGGUAUCCUGGUGGAGGAGGCGACACUCGGUCGAUUGGGUGCACGACACGGCCGUCUCGAGCUCCCUGGUGGCGCAACGACUUGCUUGCACAGAAGAUGAUGCAAGACUGCGCGCGCAGUGCGCCUCCACGCGCUCGAGCCAGGCGCCGCGUGCUCGGCUCCCUCGUCGUCGCCACCGCCGCCGCCGACCUUGAGGAGGAUCAUUGGAGAGUGAGAGGGGGACGGGGUAUGGCAAAGGUUGCUGGCCACCAGCGUCCAUGGCCUCCACCCGCAAAAAUCCGGAGCUCCCUCAUCGAUGGACGGAGGCGGGGAACGGCAGGGCAAGUGGAAGCGGGCUGCGGGGGCCGCCGGAACUGGCCAUAGAGGGUGUGGCGGGCCUGGCCACAGUUGAGCUCGAGCUCGAGGUGAGCCCGCGAGAUCCCAUGGAGGGAGAUUCACUCUUCGCCGACGAGAGGACGCCGCCGGGGAGGACUCCAUCGCGCCCCCCCCCCCCUCCCCCCCACAUCNNNNNNNNNNNNNNNNNNNNNNNNNNNNNNNNNNNNNNNNNNNNNNNNNNNNNNNNNNNNNNNNNNNNNNNNNNNNNNNNNNNNNNNNNNNNNNNNNNNNNNNNNNNNNNNNNNNNNNNNNNNNNNNNNNNNNNNNNNNNNNNNNNNNNNNNNNNNNNNNNNNNNNNNNNNNNNNNNNNNNNNNNNNNNNNNNNNNNNNNNNNNNNNNNNNNNNNNNNNNNNNNNNNNNNNNNNNNGCAGCGCACGCACGAGCCGCUGGGAUGACGUGGCCAGCCGGGAGCGUCAAGAUGUGUGUGUUUCGAUCCAAUGGCAAUGAGCACCUUCGGAACGAGAAGCUAAAACGUGGCACUUUCGGGAUUUAUUGAUUCCGUUCUGAAUUGCCAGCCUCAUAUAAACCUAUGUGAAACUCUCUGUACAUACUCAGGAGCGAUCUUCUACAGCCGUUGGAUGCACCCAUCAGAGGGGUUCCUGGCCGUUAAUCACGCUCUAGCUCAGAGGUGAGAAUGCCAUCAACCAGACUGAAGUGCUUGCCUCCUUAUCGGUAAAGGAUGCAGCGGUACCAGCCUAUAGAACAGAUCUUGUUCAUGUAAGAGCAACUCCAAUGGGAAUACCCAUUUCGUCCACCGCCGUCCGUUUGGGCUAGCGCGGACAAGAACGACGGCCCAAUGCAGAAACCCAUUUUUAUUUUGUGUCCGCACGGACCCAUUUCCGCCUCAAAUUUGAGACACAUUUGGUCUGAAGCGGACACAAAGCGGACGCUUUCUGCGUCUCUCUCGUCCGCCUCCGCCCGAUGCCGGUCCUGCGUGCCCCACCUGCCAUCCACUCACAUAAUAUUUUUUCUCUCUCCCCUCUCUCUCGCGCUAGCCAUGACACAGGUGCUGCCACGCCGCCGCGCUCGCCCUGCUCGGACGCCGCCGUGCUGCCACGCUCGCCCUGCCGGGGGCAAUACAAGCAUCCACGCGAGCUAGCUAGCUUAGUUGCAUGGAUGCCGGCCUUUGCAUGGCGCCCCAUCCUAGCUAUCUAGCUAGCUUCGAUGCAUUGUCGACGCCGGCUCGUGGCGGCGCUCGAGCCACUCGCAUGCCAUUCUGCACUUCCGCCAUGGCUCGGAAGCUCGCUUGCAUGCCUCGGCCACGUCGCCGCUCGCGUCUGACCCGGCCUCGCCUUGCCACGCAGCCUCACGAGCUUGCCAUGGCCUCGUCCCGCCACGCAGAGCGGCCGCCUCUGUCGCUCACGCGCUCGUUCCGGCCUCACCCCACACGCAGCAGGAGCAACAGCUCGCGUGCCCGACCCGGCCUCGCCCCGCCCCGCAGCAGGACGAGCUCGCCAUGGCUCGGGAGCGAACGCGCCCGGCAUGGCCGCGCCCCACCACGCAGUAGGAGCUCGCACGCCCGGCACGGCCGCGCCCCGCCGCGCAGCAGGAGCGCGCAGGCCGGGGCAGAGCAGCGGCGAGCUGCGGCGCGGAGGGGCCUAGCUAGCGCGGCGGCCACGAGCUGUGGUGGGCGGGGCGCGAUCUGUGGCGGGCGGAGCGAGCUAGCGAGGCGGCUGCGGCCGUCGCUGGGCCGGGACGAGCCGCGGCGGGCACGGCGAGUGUCGGGCCCGGGGCCAGGGUGAGCGGGCGCCGGGGAUACGCAGGGCGCAUGAGAGCUGCAGCACGGGAGCCGGGCGGGGCGACGCGGGAGCUCGUUCAUCAGGUGUUCGACUAAAUCCUGACGCGGACAUGCACAAAAUGCGUCUGCCCUACGUUGGGCGUAUAGACAGACCGACCUAAACGAAAAAACGGACACGGAUGGGCCACCCAAACAGACAAAAAAGACAAAAACGAUGUCCAUUUGGAUCGACCCAUUCUAAACUGGUUUUGGCGUCGCCUGAACCAGCGAGAUGGGACUAAUCGCAGCGGCAUGCAGCAGCGCUGCGCUUCCUCUGUCAGCUUUGGAAUGAGGGGCACGGCCCGUGACCCGUGUAUGUGCGCACAUUGCUCAAAGAAAAAGUAGCUCAGCCCAUCUGAAAAAUAUUUGCCUCUCGCGCUUUCCACUCGUUCUCUGUUCCUUCCUGUCGCAAUCAAACGUGGAAGUACUUCUUUGUUAAACAACCAGUGGUACUUCAAAACUGGCCCAAGUGAAGGUGGUUUGGAGAAAUUGAUACCUCCAGCCACUUGUUUUUAUCUCCAUUAUGAACUGUUUUUUUCUAGACAACUUUAUCAUUACUCGAUCAAUUCCUUUCUACAGAACUUUAUCAUUACUCGAUCAAUUCCAUUUUUAAAAAUGCUAGUAGAUCAAAAUAGGAUGCAGCAACAACCAGAAACUAUUCACAACUGAAAGAGGCCACAAAAUAAAUUUAGCUGAGCUUGAUUUUCCAACAGAAGCGAGUACGGCUGAAAGAGGCAAACACAGAGGUAUAGAUAAAACUGCAUCAUCUAUUCUUCACAUAAAGUUCCGAUGCGAAUCCAUCCGGCUAUAUAAUAACAAAACGAAAAAACAUCAGAAGGAAGUAACAGCAGCAGCAAAGAGAGUUCUCUACAACUCGGCCAACAGACUAAUAACAGCAAGUCUCCGGUGUCUGCGAAUAAACCCGACCACCCCCAACCCCAACACAAAGUAAGUAGCACCAAUUAUCCAUGUCUCCUCUCCCUACUAACCCAUUACAAAAAUUGGUUCCCCUUUAAACCCAUCUAC